RNAcentral lists this ribosomal RNA (253 nucleotides) under uncultured bacterium. RNAcentral's name for it is "partial 16S ribosomal RNA". It matches the Rfam family "Bacterial small subunit ribosomal RNA", at positions 524 to 776 of the family's 1533-position model. The record is from RNAcentral.
GACAGAGGGUGCAAGCGUUGUUCGGAAUUAUUGGGCGUAAAGGGCGCGUAGGCGGUUCAGUAAGUCACAUGUGAAAUCCCGGGGCCUAACCCCGGAAGUGCGUGUGAUACUGCAGAACUUGAGUCCCGGAGAGGGUGGUGGAAUUCCCAGUGUAGAGGUGAAAUUCGUAGAUAUUGGGAGGAAUACCGGUGGCGAAGGCGACCACCUGGACGGAGACUGACGCUGAGGCGCGAAAGCGUGGGGAGCAAACAGG